RNAcentral lists this ribosomal RNA (424 nucleotides) under uncultured bacterium. RNAcentral describes it as "bacterial SSU rRNA". It matches the Rfam family "Bacterial small subunit ribosomal RNA", at positions 334 to 757 of the family's 1533-position model. The record is from RNAcentral.
CGUUCCUACGGGAGGCAGCAGUAAGGAAUAUUGGUCAAUGGACGAAAGUCUGAACCAGCCAUGCCGCGUGGAGGAUGAAGGUCCUCUGGAUUGUAAACUUCUUUUAUCUGGGACGAAAAAAGGUCUUUCUAGAUCGUCUGACGGUACCAGAUGAAUAAGCACCGGCUAACUCCGUGCCAGCAGCCGCGGUAAUACGGAGGGUGCAAGCGUUAUCCGGAUUCACUGGGUUUAAAGGGUGCGUAGGUGGGUUGGUAAGUCAGUGGUGAAAUCUUCGAGCUUAACUCGGAAACUGCCAUUGAUACUAUCAGUCUUGAAUAUUGUGGAGGUUAGCGGAAUAUGUCAUGUAGCGGUGAAAUGCUUAGAUAUGACAUAGAACACCAAUUGCGAAGGCAGCUGGCUACACAUAUAUGACACUGAGCACGAA